UUUGAGCAUAGCCACUUUUUGGUGGG
This 26-nucleotide non-coding RNA is filed under the name Mus musculus (house mouse). Lineage: Eukaryota; Metazoa; Chordata; Mammalia; Rodentia; Muridae. The record is from RNAcentral.